This is a long non-coding RNA of Leptonychotes weddellii (Weddell seal), 1250 nucleotides long. RefSeq lists it as uncharacterized. The record is from RefSeq and is a predicted model, not a curated record. NCBI's taxonomy places the organism in Eukaryota, Metazoa, Chordata, Mammalia, Carnivora, Phocidae.
UGGACGGUAGACUCUCGUCUAUGCAGUACAAAUCAGGAAGUGAAUUUAGUCCGCAGGGGUUUUGUAGGAAGACCGGACCCUCAAAUCUAUCAUUUCUCAGGGCUCAGGAGGUGAGAGAAGGAACCACAGAGGUCCAACUCAAGGUCUCAUUUUGCCUGUUUGCUUCAUUUCUUUUGAGUCCCCUUUGUGCCCAUGCAAGCACUUGUCUGCUUUUCACAAAUUCUCGGGCAUGUCUCCCUAGCUGAAGUUCUUGAUUCGAGAAUGACCGGAUGGCUCUAUUCACAAAUUAUACAACUUUUCUGAAAGGUUCAAGUACAAGGCUUCAACCAAUCCCUUUUCACUUUGAAAUUUCUGCCGAGGCAUCACACAUUGGGAGCGAAGACUGACAGCAAGAGACAGACACAAGAAUAUGUCUAUAAGGCAUAAAACCUGGUGACUAAUGCAUCAUUCCUUAGAAAUAAGUAUUCUGGUCAGUGAAGAUGUCUGUCAGAAAAGUUGCUUUGCAAACUGUUUGAGAAGAAAGCCAUCACAAAUCCCUGCACUCUGACCACAGAUGAAGAAAGCGACAAUAAAAACUGUUCAGUGUUUUGGUAGAAGGAUCAACUGUAUUUGAAAUCAAAAGGAGCGUCUGAAACAAGAAUCAGCUUCAUGGACAUUCAAGUAGUGCGAUUACCUGGUGUCCCACACUUGCUUUAAUGCUCUGCUGUGAGAGUCUUGAAAUUCUUCAUGGUUUUAGCUUUGAACUUGUAUUUUGUAUGUGAAGGCCCUUGGGACAAUGGAACAUGUGUAUGAACAGAGGAUAUAUGCCUGUCUACCUUCCUUGCCUCUCUAUUCACAUAUAGCAUCAAUGAUGCCCACUAAGCUCAGAAUCCUGGUGGAUCCAUGAUGCAUGGAAGCUCAGCAGGAUCCAGAGUAAAUACAAGGCUUUUUGUUGCUAUUACACCCAGGAGCUACAUGACACAGAAAGCUUGGCAGCUUUCCCACAAUCCUCAGCAUGUGGGAAUAUCAAGGAACAGAGUGUGAGCCCCUGCCAACUGGUGGUUCCGUGUAAAUGUCUCUGUUAACAACCAGCACUGCUCCUAGCAGCCAGCCGAGCAAAGCGGCAAAUCUGUUCCUCUCUCCGGUGUGGAAAACACCACCGAAAAAGUCACCUAAUUACUUGAUUAAGAUGUAUCAAUCCCGGAAAUUGUUGAUCUAGAACAUUGAGUCGCUGACAUUUGAUUCAUUCUUGAUUAAACAAAAAAGUUUCA